GGAAGGAUCAUUAUCAAGCAUGGGAUUCCAUAUUCCGUGAAGACACCCCUUCCGAGUUCCUGUACUUGUUGCUUUCGUGGGAUUUGUAUCCUCCCCGAGGGGUGGGAAACCAACCCACGGAAGAUAUUUGCAAAACCCAAGUGUCACGUGUCUGUCUGAGCAUGGUAUUCAAUAAUUGAUUGAAAAUGAGUAAAAACUUUCAACAACGGAUCUCUUGGUUCUCGCAUCGAUGAAGAACGCAGCGAAUUGCGAUAAGUAGUGUGAAUUGCAGAAUUCCGUGAAUCAUCGAAUCUUUGAACGCACAUUGCGCCUUUCGGUAUUCCGAAGGGCAUGCCUGUUCGAGCGUCAUGAAAUAAAGGGAAAACCCAAUCGAGCUUGAAAAUUCCAUCCGGCUCGGUGUUGGAAAUGGAGUGGUUCCAUCAUCACACCUAUCCGAAAUAAAAUGGCGAAGUUGGAUGUUCCAAUCGGCGUAGUAAUCAAACACUAUGUUCCGCUGUUGUGCAACCUGUCUUCCGCCACUAAAACCCUCAUGCUGCAUUGUUUUUGACCUCGAAUCAGGUAGGGAUACCCGCUGAACUUAAGCAUAUCAAUAAGCGGAGGAAAAGAAACCAACAGGGAUUGCCUCAGUAACUGCGAGUGAAGCGGCAAGAGCUCAAAUUUGAAAUCUGACGUCUCAAGCGUCCGAAUUGUAAUUUGGAGAGCAUUAUCUUCGGACCGAGCAUCAUCCUUCAAAUUCCUUGGAAUGGGAUGUCGCAGAGGGUGAGAACCCCGUUUGUGGCGAUGGCUGCCUCGGUUCAUUUGUGAAGAUGGCUUCGACGAGUCGAGUUGUUUGGGAAUGCAGCUCAAAAUGGGUGGUAAAUGUCAUCUAAAGCUAAAUACCGGCGAGAGACCGAUAGCGCACAAGUAGAGUGAUCGAAAGAUGAAAAGCACUUUGAAAGAGAGUCAAAAAGUACGUGAAAUUGUUGAAAGGGAAGCGCUCAAGAUCAGACUCAAUCUGUGGUGAUCAACGGUGCUUCUGCACCGUGCACUUGCCAUAUAUUGGGACAGCAUAGGUUUGAAUGGCGGGACAAAGGUUCGGGGAAUGUAGCUCGCUUCGGCGAGUGUUAAUAGCCCUGGGCGUAAUGCCGUCUGUUCGGAUCGAGGACUGCGCUUUUUGCUAGGAUGCUGUCAUAAUGAUCUUCAGCGACCCGUCUUGAAACACGGACCAAGGAGUCUAACAUCUAUGCGAGUGUUCGGGUGGAAAACCCUUGCGCGAAAUGAAAGUGAAUGGAGGUGGGAACCGUCUCGGUGCACCAUCGACCGAUCCUGAUGUCUUCGGAUGGAUUUGAGUAAGAGCAUAGCUGUUGGGACCCGAAAGAUGGUGAACUAUGCCUGAAUAGGGUGAAGCCAGAGGAAACUCUGGUGGAGGCUCGCAGCGGUUCUGACGUGCAAAUCGAUCGUCAAAUUUGGGUAUAGGGGCGAAAGACUAAUCGAACCAUCUAGUAGCUGGUUCCUGC
This 1496-nucleotide unclassified non-coding RNA is filed under the name uncultured fungus. RNAcentral describes it as "sequence contains 18S rRNA gene, ITS1, 5.8S rRNA gene, ITS2, 28S rRNA gene". The stretch from base 545 to 1496 matches the Rfam family "Eukaryotic large subunit ribosomal RNA", at positions 1 to 961 of the family's 3401-position model. The record is from RNAcentral. Lineage: Eukaryota; Fungi.